AUUGAACGCUGGCGGCAGGCUUAACACAUGCAAGUCGAGCGGGGUGAUGGUGCUUGCACUAUCACUUAGCGGCGGACGGGUGAGUAAUGCUUAGGUAUCUGCCUAUUAGUGGGGGACAACAUCUCGAAAGGGAUGCUAAUACCGCAUACGUCCUACGGGAGAAAGCAGGGGAUCACUUGUGACCUUGCGCUAAUAGAUGAGCCUAAGUCGGAUUAGCUAGUUGGUGGGGUAAAGGCCUACCAAGGCGACGAUCUGUAGCGGGUCUGAGAGGAUGAUCCGCCACACUGGGACUGAGACACGGCCCAGACUCCUACGGGAGGCAGCAGUGGGGAAUAUUGGACAAUGGGGGGAACCCUGAUCCAGCCAUGCCGCGUGUGUGAAGAAGGCCUUAUGGUCGUAAAGCACUUUAAGCGAGGAGGAGGCUCUUUUGGUUAAUACCCAAGAUGAGUGGACGUUACUCGCAGAAUAAGCACCGGCUAACUCUGUGCCAGCAGCAGCCGCCG
This 503-nucleotide ribosomal RNA is filed under the name uncultured bacterium. Its description in RNAcentral is "partial 16S ribosomal RNA". It matches the Rfam family "Bacterial small subunit ribosomal RNA", at positions 30 to 523 of the family's 1533-position model. The record is from RNAcentral.